UAUGGUCUUCGGGGCAGGGUGCAAUUCCCUACCGGCGGUUACAGUCCGCGAGCGCAAGCAGAGCCCGGUGAAAUUCCGGCACCGACAGUAUAGUCUGGAUGGAAGAAGGCAUGU
RNAcentral lists this non-coding RNA (114 nucleotides) under Mageeibacillus indolicus UPII9-5. RNAcentral's name for it is "Clostridiales genomosp. BVAB3 str. UPII9-5 FMN riboswitch aptamer (RFN element)". It matches the Rfam family "FMN riboswitch aptamer (RFN element)". From Rfam's summary of the family: The RFN element is a highly conserved domain that is found frequently in the 5'-untranslated regions of prokaryotic mRNAs that encode for flavin mononucleotide (FMN) biosynthesis and transport proteins. This element is a metabolite-dependent riboswitch that directly binds FMN in the absence of proteins. Lineage: Bacteria; Bacillati; Bacillota; Clostridia; Eubacteriales; Oscillospiraceae. The record is from Rfam by way of RNAcentral. RNAcentral also lists the same sequence under 1 other name.